Molecule: unclassified non-coding RNA, 299 nt
Filed under: plant metagenome
Description: partial contains 5.8S ribosomal RNA, internal transcribed spacer 2, and large subunit ribosomal RNA
Rfam family: 5.8S ribosomal RNA (bases 1-105)
Source: RNAcentral
GAAAUGCGAUAAGUAAUGUGAAUUGCAGAAUUCAGUGAAUCAUCGAAUCUUUGAACGCACAUUGCGCUCGCCAGUAUUCUGGCGAGCAUGCCUGUUCGAGCGUCAUUUCAACCAUCAAGCUCUGCUUGCGUUGGGGAUCCGCGGCUGCCCGCGGUCCCUCAAAAACAGUGGCGGGCUCGCUAGUCACACCGAGCGUGGUAACUCUACAUCGCUAUGGUCGUGCGGCGGGUUCUUGCCGUAAAACCCCCAAUUUCUAAGGUUGACCUCGGAUCAGGUAGGAAUACCCGCUGAACUUAAGC